UCGAUUUUUAAAGGUACAAUGGAGUCAUCACACUCAAGAUGAGGCCACAUGGGAGAAGGAAGAUGAUUUGCAAAAGAACUAUCCUCAGUUUUUCCAUCACCAAGGUACAACAAUUUCGAGGACGAAAUUCCUCAAGGAGGGGAGCCUGUAGUAGUAGUUAGUAGUAGUAGUAAUAGCUGUAGCAGUAGGGAACCGUUCAUACAGUCUUGAAUUGUUUUGGGAGGAGGACAGAUAAAUAUCACCGAGGUUAAUGGAUAGGAUCGAACCCUUUCAGUGUAAGGAAGAGGGAGGGUGAAUCCUAUCCCUAUCAUCAUGGCUUGGACAGGUGUCUGCUUCACACUGAAGGAAGCUGCACUAUUUAAGCCGUAUGUGAGCCUACAACUCUUGUCCAUCAGUAGUACUUCUCCCUGCUCUGGCUGUGGCGAGAGUUCUGUGAGACACUUGAGAGUGUAGAGCUAAUAGAAGCCUUUCAGAAACUAGUCAAGAUGAGAUGUCAGAGGGGAAUGAUGACAUGCAGACCUAGUGGGGAGUGUGGUCUACUUAGUCUGUAGAGACAUCCAGAGGUCAUACUUGCAUGCUAAGCAUAGGGUUUUGUCCUAGUGACAAUAAGUUGGUCAGUGAACCAACCGAUGUAAUAUGUAGUGUAGCUGGUAAAAAAAAAGUAAUAAUAAUAAACGGAACCACUGUUGUAGGUGUCCAAGCUCCAGUUGUGAUGGUUA
This is a long non-coding RNA of Oryza sativa Japonica Group (Japanese rice), 719 nucleotides long. RefSeq lists it as uncharacterized. Lineage: Eukaryota; Viridiplantae; Streptophyta; Magnoliopsida; Poales; Poaceae. The record is from RefSeq and is a predicted model, not a curated record.